This 58-nucleotide non-coding RNA is filed under the name unclassified sequences. RNAcentral describes it as "chromate-resist RNA". It matches the Rfam family "chrB-b RNA". The record is from RNAcentral.
CGGGGAUAGCCGGCAGACUCCCCGCCCUCCAAGACGCGCCGUCGCGUCCAAGUUCUGC